Molecule: transfer RNA, 68 nt
Filed under: Marmota monax (woodchuck)
Lineage: Eukaryota; Metazoa; Chordata; Mammalia; Rodentia; Sciuridae
Description: tRNA.Ala
Source: RNAcentral
GGAUUGUGGCUCAGCGGUAGAGUGCUCACCUAGCAUGUGCGAGGCCCUGGGUUUGAUCCUCAGCACCA